RNAcentral lists this ribosomal RNA (775 nucleotides) under Oenococcus oeni. RNAcentral's name for it is "bacterial SSU rRNA". It matches the Rfam family "Bacterial small subunit ribosomal RNA", at positions 1 to 741 of the family's 1533-position model. The record is from RNAcentral. Lineage: Bacteria; Bacillati; Bacillota; Bacilli; Lactobacillales; Lactobacillaceae.
UUUAAAUUGAGAGUUUGAUCCUGGCUCAGGAUGAACGCUGGUGGCGUGCCUAAUACAUGCAAGUCGUACGCUAGCCGCUGAAUUGAUCCUUCGGGUGAAGUGAGGCAAUGACUAGAGUGGCGAACUGGUGAGUAACACGUAAGAAACCUGCCCUUUAGUGGGGGAUAACAUUUGGAAACAGAUGCUAAUACCGCGUAACAACAAAUCACACAUGUGAUCUGUUUGAAAGGUCCUUUUGGAUCGCUAGAGGAUGGUCUUGCGGCGUAUUAGCUUGUUGGUAGGGUAGAAGCCUACCAAGGCAAUGAUGCGUAGCCGAGUUGAGAGACUGGCCGGCCACAUUGGGACUGAGACACUGCCCAAACUCCUACGGGAGGCUGCAGUAGGGAAUUUUCCGCAAUGCACGAAAGUGUGACGGAGCGACGCCGCGUGUGUGAUGAAGGCUUUCGGGUCGUAAAGCACUGUUGUAAGGGAAGAAUAACUGAAUUCAGAGAAAGUUUUCAGCUUGACGGUACCUUACCAGAAAGGGAUGGCUAAAUACGUGCCAGCAGCCGCGGUAAUACGUAUGUCCCGAGCGUUAUCCGGAUUUAUUGGGCGUAAAGCGAGCGCAGACGGUUUAUUAAGUCUGAUGUGAAAUCCCGAGGCCCAACCUCGGAACUGCAUUGGAAACUGAUUUACUUGAGUGCGAUAGAGGCAAGUGGAACUCCAUGUGUAGCGGUGAAAUGCGUAGAUAUGUGGAAGAACACCAGUGGCGAAAGCGGCUUGCUAGAUCGUAACU